RNAcentral lists this ribosomal RNA (468 nucleotides) under uncultured bacterium. Its description in RNAcentral is "partial 16S ribosomal RNA". It matches the Rfam family "Bacterial small subunit ribosomal RNA", at positions 28 to 507 of the family's 1533-position model. The record is from RNAcentral.
GACGAACGCUGGCGGCGUGCUUAACACAUGCAAGUCGAACGGAAAGGCCCUGCUUUUGUGGGGUGCUCGAGUGGCGAACGGGUGAGUAACACGUGCGUAACCUGCCCUUGACUUUGGGAUAACUUCAGGAAACUGGGGAUAAUACCGGAUAGGAGCUCCUGCUGCAUGGUGGGGGUUGGAAAGUUUCGGCGGGUGGGGAUGGACUCGCGGCUUAUCAGCUUGUUGGUGGGGUAGUGGCUUACCAAGGCUUUGACGGGUAGCCGGCCUGAGAGGGUGACCGGCCACAUUGGGACUGCGAGACGGCCCAGACUCCUACGGUAGGCAGCAGGGGGGAAUAUUGCACAAUGGGCGGAAGCCUGAUGCAGCAACCCCGCGUGCGGGAUGACGGCCUUCGGGUUGUAAACCGCUUUCGCCUGUGACGAGGCGUGAGUGACGGUAAUGGGUAAAUAAGCACCGGCUAACUACGUG